Molecule: ribosomal RNA, 221 nt
Filed under: Rossellomorea aquimaris
Lineage: Bacteria; Bacillati; Bacillota; Bacilli; Caryophanales; Bacillaceae
Description: Bacillus aquimaris partial 16S ribosomal RNA
Rfam family: Bacterial small subunit ribosomal RNA
Source: RNAcentral
AUGAAGCUGGAAUCGCUAGUAAUCGCGGAUCAGCAUGCCGCGGUGAAUACGUUCCCGGGCCUUGUACACACCGCCCGUCACACCACGAGAGUUUGUAACACCCGAAGUCGGUGAGGUAACCUUUUGGAGCCAGCCGCCUAAGGUGGGACAGAUGAUUGGGGUGAAGUCGUAACAAGGUAGCCGUAUCGGAAGGUGCGGCUGGAUCACCUCCUUUCUAAGGA